GAAUAACACUUGCUGUUUACUGAGAAGUAGCCCUGCUCAUUUCUCUUUGGCGUUCUCUCUGGCCACCAGGUUUUCUGGGACUUGGUCUUUAUUUUAAACAGUUUGUAGAUAGAGACGAUGGAAUUUUGAAGUUAAUAGAAAGAAGCUGCAGUGACACUAUUAAUCCAAGAAAAAGUCUGCCAAACCUUACUUUACACUUUGAGAAAAUGUUUUGCUUGUUUUCAGUCUGGCCUCAUCACAGUCAUUUUGAACACACACACACACACACACACACAUACACUGUAGUGGGUUGAAUGGUGGCCCCUCAAAAGAUACAUUCACCUGGAACUUGUGAAUGUGACUCUAUUUAGAAAAAUGGUUUUUGCAGAUCUAAUAAGGAUCCUGAAAUGAGAUCAACCUGGAUUAUCCAGGUGGGCCCUAUAGCUAAUGACAAGUGUAGUAUAAGAGACAAGAGAAGACACGGGAGGGCAGAAGGCAAUGUGAAGACAGAGGCAAAGACUGGAGUGAUGCAACUGCAAGCCAAAGAAUCCCUGGAGCUGUCAGAGAUUGGAAGAGGCGAGGAAGCUUCUCCCCUGAGUCUUCAGAGGGAGCACAAGCCUGCCGACACGGUGAUUUUGGACUUCUGGCCUCCAGAACGCAUCACUCGCCUUACCAACUGCUCUCUGCUCCUCGUACCACCUGGGCCGCUGUGAGCUCAACUGAAUCGGCAGAACUCGUCAGGGGCAGCACCAUAAUUGUGCAGGCCUGGCUCUGAGCGCUUCCGGUUCCUUUUGCUGGUUCCUUACCCUCAUUCUAAUUGUCAAGUUCACUGCAAACUAUAGUUCUACCAAGUGCUGCAAAGAAGAACGUACAAGCUUUACUGGGAGCUCAGACUCGGAAGAGUUCCUUCAGAGCAUUCAAAACCAAAAAAGAAACAGACAAAAAAGUGAUGCAUCUUUUCGGUCAGUAAGAUCAUCCAUUUCAGGGUACUGUCAGUCAAGUUGUUUUGAAGAGCCCCCCAGGGCUGCCAGGUUUGUCUUCUUGAGUGGUUCUAUAAUGUACAGAGCUUCUUAACCACAGCUCCUUGGUUCAUUCUCACAGAUAAGAAGGCGUCUUUGCCUCUUUUUGCCCAACAUCCAGGCAUGUGCCAGGUUCCCUCUGAUCUUCAUGAUAUCAGAGCUAAUUUUAGGCCCCAGACAUGGCUUCUAGCCAGAGUGUUCAUGUGACCAGCUCCCGAAUAUGCUGUGGGGAGCACGAGAACUACUAUCUGGAAUGAUGAUCCGAUUUCUCUGAGCAGCGUGCUUUGUAGACAGACGACUCCAUGGCUGGACGGACUGUGAACAGCUUGAACGUCCGUAUGUGGUUGCUUCUUGGAUAUCUCUUCAUCACCAUAUUUGAGGACAUCUGCUGUUGGGGAUCCUGUGAAAUGAAUUAAUCUGUGAUUUGAUCAGUCUGCACAUGUAACCUGGAUAUGCUCUUUUUCUUUGCUCCUACUAUGCAAAUGUACAGUUAUUAAUACCCAUUAGUACUCCACAGAUGCUGACACAGCGAUGUAGUUAAGAAUGCUC
Molecule: long non-coding RNA, 1547 nt
Filed under: Equus asinus (donkey)
Lineage: Eukaryota; Metazoa; Chordata; Mammalia; Perissodactyla; Equidae
Description: lncRNA (ENSEASG00005030884.1)
Source: RNAcentral